GGAUGUGAGGAUGAUCUGGCUAUGACAUCUGUCACCCCAUUGAUUGCCAGGGUUGAUUCAACUGAUCUGGCUGGCUAGGUGCAUGUCCCCUUCCUUCUCCCUCACCGUUUCAUUUGCAUCCCUCUCUAAGUUGCUCUGAGUGGAAGAGGACGACCUUCCCUGAAUAGAGGAGGGUGGGUCUUGGGUAAAGGGUACACAAAUAGGUGCACUCCCCCGUUAGAACCUCCAAACAAUUCUUAAAUGAAAUGCACCUAUAAAAUUCCUAAAAUCAGACAACUUUAAGUGAAGGUGAGUGUU
RNAcentral lists this small nuclear RNA (297 nucleotides) under Jaculus jaculus (lesser Egyptian jerboa). RNAcentral's name for it is "7SK RNA (ENSJJAG00000002725.1)". It matches the Rfam family "7SK RNA". From Rfam's summary of the family: 7SK was discovered as an abundant small nuclear RNA in the mid-70s but a possible function has only recently been suggested. Two independent studies have found that 7SK RNA binds the CDK9/cyclin T complex (known as elongation factor P-TEFb). The record is from Rfam by way of RNAcentral. Lineage: Eukaryota; Metazoa; Chordata; Mammalia; Rodentia; Dipodidae.